GUGUUCGUAGUUCAGUUGGUUAGAAUAUCAGAUUGUGGUCCUGAGGGUCGUGGGUUCAAAUCCCACCGGACACC
Molecule: transfer RNA, 74 nt
Filed under: Bacteroidales bacterium
Lineage: Bacteria; Pseudomonadati; Bacteroidota; Bacteroidia; Bacteroidales
Also listed under: 1 other name
Description: tRNA-His
Rfam family: tRNA
About the family: Transfer RNA (tRNA) molecules are approximately 80 nucleotides in length.
Source: RNAcentral